Molecule: long non-coding RNA, 818 nt
Organism: Mauremys reevesii (Reeves's turtle)
Lineage: Eukaryota; Metazoa; Chordata; Testudines; Geoemydidae
Exons: 5
Source: RefSeq, a predicted model, not a curated record
GCCCGGAGCAGCAAUCCGCAGCCAGUGGAAGCCGUGAUCGGCCGGACCUGUGGACGGGGCAGGAGCCCACUGGGGUAGGUCUUGUGGCAGAAGAAUGUCCUUUCCUGAGGGAAGAGGGGAAUUUACUAAAGCUGAAUGUUCCUAGGCCCAGAACUCAAACAUAAGGACUCAUCCACCUGAGAGAUCAAACCCCCAAACCUGGAUGGCUCAGAAGACUGAUGAUGGGAUAGAAGAGUCUUUCACCUAUCACUCAUGAGUAUACUCUGAUCUAUAACAGAAGUGAUGGACAAUUUGUAUACCGUCUAAUAGCUAUUCAAUGACUUAGGCACAAAUUUGUGGUCUUUGUCAGAUUCUUGGUGGUCCAAAUCAUUAAAACCAUCACCACCACUACUUUUGCUAGAAGUUGUGGUGAAGAGGACAAGCACAUUGUGACAAGGCAGUCUGAAGAAGUUUACAAUGUUCUUGUCCGUUCUCAAAUUGUCCCGUUGACUUCAGUUGGAACACUUCUAGAGUGAGGCACCUUUCAUCAAGAACUCAUCAGGACGCUGACAGACCUGGUAUCUGACCUGCAUCUCAGGAAACACCAUUUGUGUGCCAUUGGAAAAAUCCCACCCUGCAAUGCAUGCACUGGAGAUGCAUUGGGAGAAAAAAAUCGCAGUGCUGAUUUUCAUGAGAUAUCUCUUCUCACUCUCUCCCAGCCUCCUUUAUGCAGACACACACGUUGCUGGGUUUAAGGGCUCUGGUAAUGGGACAAAUAUGGUCUACUUUACUGCUUAAGUCGAUCUAUAUUACACUGCUCAGGGAUACGAAAAAGCCCC